AAGCGUGCGUAGGCGGCUUUUUAAGUCGGAUGUGAAAUCCCCGAGCUUAACUUGGGAAUUGCAUUCGAUACUGGGAAGCUAGAGUAUGGGGAGAGGAUGGUAGAAUUCCAGGUGUAGCGGUGAAAUGCGUAGAGAUCUGGAGGAAUACCGAUGGCGAAGGCAGCCAUCUGGCCUAAUACUGACGCUGAGGUACGAAAGCAUGGGGAGCAAACAGGAUUAGAUACCCUAGU
Molecule: ribosomal RNA, 230 nt
Filed under: uncultured bacterium
Lineage: Bacteria
Description: partial 16S ribosomal RNA
Rfam family: Bacterial small subunit ribosomal RNA
Source: RNAcentral